GCAAUGGCAGAAGGAACACAGUGAGUUUGUCAGGUCUACUGAGAGUCCGGCCCCGCCGCCGAUGUGGCGAGCGAGGAAAUGUUGGUAGCCUAUUCUCAAUUAAUACUUUUAAACGAGUUGGCGAACUCAUCACAUUUUCUUUUGCUAUCGAUGCUUCUCUGCAGAAGGUUAUAUAGGCCUACUUUGCUACAAUGUAUCUACUCAGAGCGCGGGUCACUACACAGCCUAGUCUUCUUUUUUCACACUCGCAUCGUUGUUGCCGCGGUGCAGCGAGGACACACUACUUACGGGGGGAGUGGAAUUGGACGUGAGGGAGAGACAGACCAACACUUGGUGAUGGUCGCUCAAGACUUGAACUUGAACUUAAAAUUGGCGUCCAUGUCAAAUCGACGUUCAUCUUCUUUUUUCCAUAAGAAAUAUGCAUUUUCUGUGAUUCAAUGACAAACUACGAGGAGAUAUGAGGAAAAUACAGAUGUUUUGAAGAUAAGCAACUAAACCUGCUCCAACCUUGGACAUUGAAGAAGUGGACAUUUCAGAUCAACAGGGAGUCAAAGAUUUGAAGAAUGCAUGUUAUAGACAUUGUUAUAACAGGAUAACUACACUAUGUUCUGGAUCUACUACCCUGGUGGAUAAUAAGGCCUGUCUGGAUUUCAACACCCUGGAUUUUGCAUCCAUAGUUGGUGUGUGAUGCGACUGUCUACCCAUGUCCGAUUUGAGGUUGAUUGGAUCUGAUGUGUGAAGACGGAACAGACCCUGGAUUAAAGAUGGUGUGAACCUGAGACGGGUCAAGUAGGAACAGGAGGCAAAAUAUGAUGUUGACACAUUGCACGCAUUGCACGUGUGUGCGCGUCCUAGUCACCUUUUCAUGUCUGAGCUCUCACAUGAGGAUCACUUUAAGGACCACUCGGACUGUUCGUCAGAGACAAACCAACUGUCCUUUGGUGUGAGGUAGUAGGUUGUAUAGUUUUAGGGUCACUCCCAAGCUGUCAGAUGACUAUACAACAUACUGUCUUUCCUGAAGUGGCUGUAAUAUCAUCACAGACUCUCCACAUGAAGAACCCUCGGCAAAAGCUGCAAUGAAAAUGUACCUUUUUUGCCUACAUUAUUACCAUUCUUACAAUAUUAUUACAAUAUUAUUACAUCAUUUUAUAUUUGAACAGGAAAUUAGGUUUCACUUCAGGUUAAUUCACAUUUUCUGGUUGGACUCCAUCUCUAACUAACUGGUCAACCGGACUGUGCCCGGUCGGUGAUUCAUGGUGUUCGCACAGGGUGAGGUAGUAGGUUGUGUGGUUUCAGGGUUGUGAUUUUGCCCCAUCAGGAGUUAACUGUACAACCUACUGCCUUCCCUGAAGGGCAGCAACACAACAUUACAAGCAUGGCCACAAUGGAGCUCACCGUCUACUGUGCUGUUUUUAAGUGGCGCGCAAAGUAAAGAAGGUAAGCUAUCUCAAAUCUUUGCCUUGGUACUACUGCACAACAUCUGCUAAAUAGAGUAUUUUAUGUCUUGGAAUUUGGAAAUAGGCCUAUUGUUUAUCAACCUUCAAUUUUGUAAUAAUGCAUACUGUACUAAAAGUCAUAAUAAAAAGUGAGUAGUCUUA
This is a long non-coding RNA of Salvelinus fontinalis (brook trout), 1598 nucleotides long. RefSeq lists it as uncharacterized. NCBI's taxonomy places the organism in Eukaryota, Metazoa, Chordata, Actinopteri, Salmoniformes, Salmonidae. The transcript has 5 exons. The record is from RefSeq and is a predicted model, not a curated record.